RNAcentral lists this long non-coding RNA (2146 nucleotides) under Elaeis guineensis (African oil palm). Its description in RNAcentral is "long non-coding RNA (EGUI_LNC073491)". Lineage: Eukaryota; Viridiplantae; Streptophyta; Magnoliopsida; Arecales; Arecaceae. The record is from RNAcentral.
UGGAUCAGGAUGACAGCUACGGUAAGCUAGAAUAAUGGCUAUAGUAGGUCGAGACUAGCUACAAUGGGCCAGAAUGAUGGCUAUAAUGGACUGUAUCGACUAUAGUGGACCGAGAUCUGGCUACAGUGGAUCAGGAUGAUGGCUAUAGUGGACUGUAUUAGCUAUAGUGGAUCGAAACUGACUACAAUGGGCUAGAAUGGCAACUACAAUAGGUUGUAGCUGGCUUCAACGGGCCUUGUUGGCUGUAGUGGGCCAUGGCUAGCUUCAAUAGGUCAUGUCAACUAUAGUGGGAUGUGUCUAGCUUCAAUGGGUCAUGUCGACUGCAAUAGACUGUGUUUGGCUUCAAUAGGCUAUGGCAACUAUAGUGGGCUAAGUCUGGCUUUAAUGGGCUAUAUUGGCUAUAGUGGGCCACAUCUGGCUUCAAUGGGCCAUGUCAAGGUCUCCGAAGAGUUAGUCCUUACAUUUUCAUCGGUGUAGCCUCCACUUUGGCUCAACCAUAAGCAAGAAAAAUCUAAUUGCUUGGUGAGGGAAGGUGUCAAUAUCCUUGAGUUUCUGCACUGAUAGGACUUCCAUAUUCCACAAAGCCUCGAAAAGGCAUUUUUCCUUUCUGGGAUGUCAAGUCACCUUUGGUCUCUGAGUCUCGGGAGAUUCGAAGAUUCAUCUACACAUGGGGUCCAAUAGAGGAGCCAAUUAUCCCAAGUGGAUUGUCAUGAGCCAUAUGAGCUUUUUGAGGUUGCCUCAAUGGUACUGUCAUUAGGCUCGAGCUCCAUUCAACAUAGCCUUAGCUCUAUCCUCACCUACUUUAGGUUUGCUAGCAAUUUUACCCUUCAGAAAGUAUUAUAAAAUAAAAAGUUAGUAAAAUUUUUAUUAUAAACAAAAAUUAUAUUUACAUCAUGGCCAACUAUCAUUGGCAAUACGAUGAUAAUGGUAUUGACCUCUCUAAGAUCUGGAAGAAAAAUGAUACCCCCUAGAUGUCAUUCUCUUUCUCUCAUUAAUUUAGUCUUCUGUACCCCAUGCCACCAGCUGGGGUGGAGAUGGCAUUAAUGACACCGACCAUUGAUCGGUUGUCGUUAUCUCUCAUUGGCCACUCGAUUUUGCUACUCCCAAAAAUACUUAUCAAGGUAGCUUCUGCAGGUCAAGACUUCAACUCAUCCUUAAGCUGAUGAUAUUCCUCGAUGUUAUGACCGCGAUCGUGAUGGAAGUGACAGUACUUCCUCUUGCUCCUAUCUGCAAGGGACUUCAUUAGCUCAAAUCAUCGUAGAUACUCUUGACCCUCUAUCUCUAUCAAAAUUUGAGAUCGGGGGACAGACAGAGGAGUGUAAGUGUUGAAACACUGGGAAGGACUCCUCAAUCGGUAGCUUUUUUAUGGUCAGAAAGAUUCCAUAGUGGUUUGGAUUACUCGAAGAUCUUCUCGAUCUCUCUUCUUCCCGAGAUCUUGUUUCUUUCUGCCUGCUUGCGUAGCUCCCAGGCUUCUUCCGCCUAAGCAUACUUUCAAGUUCUGACCAACAAGUUGACAUAAUCCCUCAGGAACUUCUUAUCAAGAGAGAAAAUAAGGUGCUCAUUUUGCAGCCCUUGCUUGAGUGCCACGUUGCCACCGACUAGUCGAGGCUCUAUACCUCGAGCAUGGUGGCAUUGAAAAGUGCAAUGUAGUUGUGUAAUAAUUCAUCCUCUUCUUAUUAGAGAGAGAAGAGGCUAUCCAAGUUUCUUGAUUGAGAUUGGCAACUACUAAAAUGAGUAAUGAACAGCCUGUCGAUCUACUCAAAUGAGUGAAUGGACCCCGGUUGGAGUUCAGAAUACGAUGCUCGUGCUAACUUUCUAAGGAUGGCUGGGAAGACAAGAUAAAGUAGGGCGUCUGAGGCAUCCUGUAGCAUCAUGAGAGUUUUAUAACCCUAUGGGUGGUCAAGGAGAUCUAUGGAACCGUCAAAUGGCUCCACCUAGAGUAACUAAACCAAUUUGGGAUCGAUUUCUUCAAGAUGACCUGAGAAAAUGGUGAUUGAGAGUUGAAGUUGAGGUCAUCAUUGCUCUGAUGAGGCCUAUUCUGGACUUUAUUGAGUUGAUGCUCAAUAUCUUAGACUCUCCUCUUGAGCUCCUCCUCCCAUUGAGACCUUUCAGAUCUAGAGAAGUAGGCUAGGAUCGAAUCAUCAGU